RNAcentral lists this ribosomal RNA (253 nucleotides) under uncultured bacterium. Its description in RNAcentral is "partial 16S ribosomal RNA". It matches the Rfam family "Bacterial small subunit ribosomal RNA", at positions 524 to 776 of the family's 1533-position model. The record is from RNAcentral.
GACGUAGGGGGCAAGCGUUGUCCGGAAUCAUUGGGCGUAAAGGGCUCGUAGGCGGUUUGUCGCGUCGGGAGUGAAAUCCACUGGCUUAACUGGUGGCUUGCUUUCGAUACGGGCAGACUGGAGGUAUGCAGGGGAGAACGGAAUUCCUGGUGUAGCGGUGAAAUGCGCAGAUAUCAGGAGGAACACCGGUGGCGAAGGCGGGUCUCUGGGCAAUAACUGACGCUGAGGAGCGAAAGCGUGGGGAGCGAACAGG